UGAGGAAUCUUGCACAAUGGGCGAAAGCCUGAUGCAGCGACGCCGCGUGAAGGAUGAAGGUCUUCGGAUCGUAAACUUCUGUUAAGUGGGAAGAAAUGUCUGUUGUUAAUAGCAGCAGAAGCUGACUGUACCAUUAUAGAAAGCACCGGCUAACUACGUGCCAGCAGCCGCGGUAAUACGUAGGGUGCGAGCGUUAUUCGGAAUUACUGGGCGUACAGGGUGCGUAGACGGCUCAUUAAGUCGAUUGUUAAAUUUUCCGGCCUAACCGGAGGCAUGCGGUCGAUACUGUUGAGCUAGAGGGUGGAAGAGAGAAGUGGAAUUCUCGGAGUAGCGGUAAAAUGCGUAGAUAUCGAGAGGAACACCAAUGGCGAAGGCAGCUUCUUGGUCCAUACCUGACGUUGAGGCACGAAAGCGUGGGGAGCAAACAGGAUUAGAUACCCCCGUAGUCC
Molecule: ribosomal RNA, 449 nt
Filed under: uncultured bacterium
Lineage: Bacteria
Description: bacterial SSU rRNA
Rfam family: Bacterial small subunit ribosomal RNA
Source: RNAcentral